RNAcentral lists this ribosomal RNA (717 nucleotides) under uncultured bacterium. RNAcentral's name for it is "bacterial SSU rRNA". It matches the Rfam family "Bacterial small subunit ribosomal RNA", at positions 773 to 1490 of the family's 1533-position model. The record is from RNAcentral.
CAGGAUUAGAUACCCUGGUAGUCCACGCUGUAAACGAUGUCGAUUUGAAGGUUGUUCCCUUGAGGAGUGGCUUUCGGAGCUAACGCGUUAAAUCGACCGCCUGGGGAGUACGGCCGCAAGGUUAAAACUCAAAUGAAUUGACGGGGGCCCGCACAAGCGGUGGAGCAUGUGGUUUAAUUCGAUGCAACGCGAAGAACCUUACCUACUCUUGACAUCCAGAGAACUUAGCAGAGAUGCUUUGGUGCCUUCGGGAACUCUGAGACAGGUGCUGCAUGGCUGUCGUCAGCUCGUGUUGUGAAAUGUUGGGUUAAGUCCCGCAACGAGCGCAACCCUUAUCCUUUGUUGCCAGCGAUUCGGUCGGGAACUCAAAGGAGACUGCCGGUGAUAAACCGGAGGAAGGUGGGGAUGACGUCAAGUCAUCAUGGCCCUUACGAGUAGGGCUACACACGUGCUACAAUGGCGUAUACGAAGAGAAGCGACCUCGCGAGAGCAAGCGGAACUCAUAAAGUACGUCGUAGUCCGGAUUGGAGUCUGCAACUCGACUCCAUGAAGUCGGAAUCGCUAGUGAUCGUAGAUCAGAAUGCUACGGUGAAUACGUUCCCGGGCCUUGUACACACCGCCCGUCACACCAUGGGAGUGGGUUGCAAAAGAAGUAGGUAGCUUAGCCUUCGGGAGGGCGCUUACCACUUUGUGAUUCAUGACUGGGGUGAAGUCGUA